CAACGGAUCUAUAUAUAUAGAUUGUUUUACAUUCCUCACAUUGUCCAUCUACAUCUACUUUUUAUUCAAUCCAUAUCUGAGGUUUACAUAUCGCUCUACAAACAUAUUAUUGCUAUGGCUGAAGGUUCAUCAAGUCUACCAUGGUUCUUAAGGCUAAUGAAUGUAGCAGAUACAGUUAUUUUG
This is a long non-coding RNA of Helianthus annuus (common sunflower), 183 nucleotides long. RefSeq lists it as uncharacterized. Lineage: Eukaryota; Viridiplantae; Streptophyta; Magnoliopsida; Asterales; Asteraceae. The record is from RefSeq and is a predicted model, not a curated record. The transcript is spliced from 3 exons.